UACGGGGGGGUGCGAGCGUUGUCCGGAAUCACUGGGCGUAAGGGGCGCGUAGGUGGUCUGAUAAGGGUGUGGUGAAAGUCCGGGGGCUCAACCCCCGGAUCUGCCGUGCCGACUGUCAGACUCGAGGACUGUAGAGGCAGGCGGAAUUCCGGGUGUAGCGGUGGAAUGCGUAGAGAUCGGGAGGAACACCAGUGGCGAAGGCGGCCAUCUGGAUCAACACUGACGCUGAGGCACGAAAGCGUGGGGAGCAAACAGGG
RNAcentral lists this ribosomal RNA (257 nucleotides) under uncultured bacterium. RNAcentral's name for it is "partial 16S ribosomal RNA". It matches the Rfam family "Bacterial small subunit ribosomal RNA", at positions 524 to 777 of the family's 1533-position model. The record is from RNAcentral.